CCUACGGGGGGCAGCAGUGGGGAAUAUUGCACAAUGGGGGAAACCCUGAUGCAGCGACGCCGCGUGAGUGAAGAAGUAUUUCGGUAUGUAAAGCUCUAUCAGCAGGGAAGAAAAUGACGGUACCUGAUUAAGAAGCCCCGGCUAACUACGUGCCAGCAGCCGCGGGAAUACGUAGGGGGCAAGCGUUAUCCGGAUUUACUGGGUGUAAAGGGAGCGUAGACGGCAGCACAAGUCUGGAGUGAAAUGCCGGGGCUCAACCCCGGAACUGCUUUGGAAACUGUGCAGCUAGAGUGCAGGAGAGGUAAGUGGAAUUCCUAGUGUAGCGGUGAAAUGCGUAAAUAUUAGGAGGAACACCAGUGGCGAAGGCGGCUUACUGGACUGUAACUGACGUUGAGGCUCGAAAGCGUGGGGAGCAAACAGGAUUAGAUACCCGAGUAGUC
Molecule: ribosomal RNA, 440 nt
Filed under: uncultured bacterium
Lineage: Bacteria
Description: partial 16S ribosomal RNA
Rfam family: Bacterial small subunit ribosomal RNA
Source: RNAcentral